This 465-nucleotide ribosomal RNA is filed under the name Vreelandella stevensii. RNAcentral's name for it is "partial 16S ribosomal RNA". It matches the Rfam family "Bacterial small subunit ribosomal RNA", at positions 338 to 795 of the family's 1533-position model. The record is from RNAcentral. Lineage: Bacteria; Pseudomonadati; Pseudomonadota; Gammaproteobacteria; Oceanospirillales; Halomonadaceae.
CCUACGGGGAGCUGCAGUGGGGAAUAUUGGACAAUGGGCGAAAGCCUGAUCCAGCCAUGCCGCGUGUGUGAAGAAGGCCUUCGGGUUGUAAAGCACUUUCAGUGGGGAAGAAAGCCUUGGGGCUAAUACCCUCGAGGAAGGACAUCACCCACAGAAGAAGCACCGGCUAACUCCGUGCCAGCAGCCGCGGUAAUACGGAGGGUGCGAGCGUUAAUCGGAAUUACUGGGCGUAAAGCGCGCGUAGGCGGUCUGAUAAGCCGGUUGUGAAAGCCCCGGGCUCAACCUGGGAACGGCAUCCGGAACUGUCAGGCUAGAGUGCAGGAGAGGAAGGUAGAAUUCCCGGUGUAGCGGUGAAAUGCGUAGAGAUCGGGAGGAAUACCAGUGGCGAAGGCGGCCUUCUGGACUGACACUGACGCUGAGGUGCGAAAGCGUGGGUAGCAAACAGGAUUAGAUACCCGGGUAGUC